CCUACGGGUGGCAGCAGUGGGGAAUAUUGCGCAAUGGGCGCAAGCCUGACGCAGCGACGCCGCGUGAGGGAUGAAGGUCUUCGGAUCGUAAACCUCUUUCAGCAGGGAAGAACGGUCACUGUGCUAAUCAGCAGUGAAUUGACGGUACCUGCAAAGGAAGCACCGGCUAACUCCGUGCCAGCAGCCGCGGUAAUACGGAGGGUGCGAGCGUUAAUCGGAAUUACUGGGCGUAAAGCGCUCGUAGGCGGUAUGUCAAGUCAAGGGUGAAAUCCCCGCGCUCAACGUGGGAACUGCCUUUGAAACUGGCAAACUGGAGUGUGUGAGAGGAUAGUGGAAUUCCAGGUGUAGGGGUGAAAUGCGUAGAUAUCUGGAGGAACAUCAGUGGCGAAGGCGACUAUCUGGCACAUAACUGACGCUGAGGAGCGAAAGCGUGGGUAGCAAACAGGAUUAGAUACCCGAGUAGUC
RNAcentral lists this ribosomal RNA (465 nucleotides) under uncultured bacterium. RNAcentral's name for it is "partial 16S ribosomal RNA". It matches the Rfam family "Bacterial small subunit ribosomal RNA", at positions 338 to 795 of the family's 1533-position model. The record is from RNAcentral.